CCCCCAGUGACUCAGUGGGUCAGUUUGCAUGGCUGUUCACCAGAAGGUUGGUGGUUCAAGUCCACCCAGGGACAGGA
Non-coding RNA from Podarcis lilfordi (Lilford's wall lizard), 77 nucleotides. NCBI's taxonomy places the organism in Eukaryota, Metazoa, Chordata, Lepidosauria, Squamata, Lacertidae. The record is from the annotation of a GenBank genome assembly.